This 547-nucleotide ribosomal RNA is filed under the name uncultured bacterium. RNAcentral's name for it is "bacterial SSU rRNA". It matches the Rfam family "Bacterial small subunit ribosomal RNA", at positions 777 to 1320 of the family's 1533-position model. The record is from RNAcentral.
AAUAGAUACCCGGGUAGUCCCAGCCCUAAACGAUGGAUACUAGGUGUCGGGGGUAUCGACCCCUCCGGUGCCGCCGCUAACGCAGUAAGUAUCCCGCCUGGGGAGUACGGCCGCAAGGUUGAAACUCAAAGGAAUUGACGGGGGCCCGCACAAGCGGUGGAGCAUGUUGUUUAAUACGUCACUAACCGUAGAACCUUACCAGGGUUUGACAUGGCGUGACCUCCUAUGAAAGUAGGCUUCCCCGCAAGGGGACACGCACACAGGUGUUGCAUGGCUGUCGUCAGCUCGUGUCGUGAGACGUUGGGUUAAGUCCCGCAACGAGCGCAACCCUCAUCCCAUGUUGCCAGCGAGUAAAGUCGGGAACUCUUGGGAAACUGCCGGGGUAACUCGGAGGAAGGUGAGGACGACGUCAAGUCAGCAUGGCCCUUACACCCUGGGCUACAAACAUGCUACAAUGGACGGUAAACAGAGGGAUCCGAGACCGUGAGGUGGAGGCAAUCUCAGAAAUCCGUUCUCAGUUCGGAUUGCAGGCUGCAACUCGCCUGCA